GACAGGGGAUGCAAGCGUUAUCCGGAAUGAUUGGGCGUAAAGCGUCUGUAGGUGGCUUUUUAAGUCUGCCGUCAAAUCCCAGGGCUCAACCCUGGCCAGGCGGUGGAGACUACUAAGCUGGAGUACGGUAGGGGCAGAGGGAAUUUCCGGUGGAGCGGUGAAAUGCGUAGAUAUCGGAAAGAACACCAAGGGCGAAGGCACUCUGCUAGGCCUGAUUUCGCGACUGACGCUCAGGGACGAGAGCCAGGGGAGCGAAUGGG
Molecule: ribosomal RNA, 260 nt
Filed under: uncultured prokaryote
Description: partial 16S ribosomal RNA
Rfam family: Bacterial small subunit ribosomal RNA
Source: RNAcentral